GUCACACCAUCGGCAUAUCCCAUUGCCCGGCUGUUUCGCCCCGAUUGUACAAUUCCACUGGCCCCGGCGGAAUCGACCCAACCAUGGACAGCGAGUACGCUGAAAACCUCAAGGCCAACAAGUGUAAAACCGCGAGCGAUAACACCACAAUACUUGAGAUGGACCCUGGGAGUCGGAAAACCUUCGAUCUUAGCUACUACUCACUCUUGCUCAAAAGAAGGGGUCUUUUCCAGUCCGAUGCUGCUUUAACCACUGAUUCAACUAGCUUGGCUUUCAUCAACCAGCUCCUUUCCAGCCCCACACAGUUCUUCUUUGAUGAGUUUGGCAAAGCUAUGGAGAAAAUGGGUCGGAUUAAUGUUAAGACUGGAUCCGAAGGCGAGAUCAGGAAGCAAUGUGCACUUGUUAACAGCUAAGAAAAGAGAAUUUUGUCUUUUCUUUUUCUUUGGUUUAAAAUAUUAUUUAUUUAUAGGAAUGGGGUUAUGUGAAUAAAGGGAAUGGAGCGGGUGAAAUGAACUUCGUUGUCUACUCAAAACUGUAGUGAAAUUCAUGGGGCUGGAACUGUAUUUGUUGUUCAUUCAAUCGGUGUGAUUUUGUAAGCAAUAUCUUCAUGUAUUAAGUUGGAUUCAUGGAAUAAUAAAUUAUAAUUUUAAAUCAUACAUCUCUUUCGACUCUCUCUUGCGCUGAGUUCAUUUGGUAUGAAGCUACGGAUUUAUUGAAAUUUAAAGCAGUUUUUUUGGCCUGAAAAUCUUGUAGUGCAUAACAGUGUUAACGAGCAGCUGGUUUCCAGAGAUUCAAAAGAACGAAAAAUCAAGUUUGAAGGUAUGUUUAUGAUAAAUUAAAGGAAAUAAAGCAAUAAACAAUGAACGAGACAAUCUAUAUAUGUAUGGCCGUGGCAGGCCAUCGGUGCUUUUUAUUAACGCAAGCUAUGCACCCAACAGGCACAUUAGGCAUAGGGGGGGAGCAAGCAAUAAAUGUUACUAAUAUCAUUUUGAUGGAUUAGUUAUUUUGGGAUUAAAUUACUGACUAAUAUAUUAUAAGUUUUUGUCUUAUUUUAUAGAUUUUUUUUAAAUCUAAAAUUUUGAAGUCCCAGUUAUUCUAUUAAAUUCAUUGAUAUAAUAAUAAAUAAUAUUGUAAUGAAUUUGAAUUUAUCAGUAAAUUUUUUAAAAUUCAUAUAAGUUUUUGACCAAAUAAAGUAUGUAGAUGGACUAAUUAUAAAAGUUAAGGUAUUAAAUUUUUAAAAUUCAUAUAAGCAUUUGACCAAAUACAGAAGAUGAUUGUUGUCGUCCUCUCGAUGUUGGAGGACUAAGAUUUAGGAGGUUAGCUGGUCAAAAUAAAUUUUUCUUGUUAAAGUUUAAAUUUAGCUUCUCUCGAAAGUAGAUGCUCUUUGAGUCAAAGUGUUGAGGAAUAAAUAUAAAUGUCCAUUGUAAGAAGUAUGUAACACACGUUACCCAACCUGAAUAAUUGGAUCCGAGUCUGGUAUGCCACAACUUAAAAUCAUACGAGUUUAGUAAAAGCAUUUAAAAUUUACAAAAACUUAAGAUAUUGGUGUAAUCCUCAAUACGACAAGAACAAAACAAUCAAUUUAAAUAUAUGCCAAGAAAAGUAUUUUAGACAGAACAUUUAGCGAAAGCCUUAUAAAAGUCGAUAGAGUUAUUCCCUUAGAAAAGUUUCAAGUGCAUCAUUGGCAGUUAAUUAUCAUUCAAAACAGUUUGGUGUACACGACUAAAAUAUUAUCUCAAAAACCAUAGAUCAUUGGAUCAAACACACACACACACACAUAUACUAUUGGAGUUUACAAAAGAUUUCAUAAAAUAGAGUUUAACAAAAACUACAAAUCAUUAAAAGAGGUAAUACAAAAUGUUUGUACAUGCCACCCAACCCACGGUAUGCAUGAUACAAAAAUUAACAAAAGGCUCACAAUCAACAGUGCUCUAGCAUAGUCCUUUCAGAAUUCUCUUCCUUCAAUAGACACUCUUGAAAAGAAAAAUGUAACAUUCCACCCUGCAAAGUCCUAGUGUUUGAAUACUGUUUAUCGAAGUAUGGUGUUUAGGGCAAGAUCUGAGUGGGUAAAGUAUUAAAUGUGACUAAGCAUGUAAGUCUAUGUGUGCGCAUUUGGGUGAAGUCUAUGUUGAGCAAGCUUAGUGGUUUAGUGGACUCCCUUGUAGAGUAUAUGCCACCCCAGUUGUUAGACAAUUACGUUAAGUCUUUAGUUGAAGAACUAUGUAUUAUUUUAUUAUUUUAUUAGUUGAACAUUUUAGUUAGACGAAUGAGAAUUGAUUAGAAUAGAACUAAUUUAUGAUGAGAGAGAAAGUACUUAGUCAUAGGAAUCGAGGGUGUUUAGUGGGCUAAUCAGACUUAUCCACUAAACCCAACUUUUGUGUAUAGUUGUAUAUGGUUGGUAUUGGCUUAUUGAACAAGUUUUAUGUUUUCCCUGGUGCCCAUAUUUUCUUCUCAAACUUUCUCUGCACUUUUCUCUCAAUAAAACCUUAGAUUAGAAGCUUGCUUGAAGAUUUGGGUUGGUUGUAUUCAACCAAAUCUUUCGUUGUUUUAGCAUAUGGUAAAUGUCGAUGAACCUUAGGUAAUCUCGUGGUUAUUUACAUGACCUUUGAGUUGCGCGCUUUAGCGUCAAUUUUGAGUGUAUGGAAGGAAAUUUCCUGAAUCUGGGUUUUAUGAUGAUGUUACUUACAAGUUGUUUAGUUUUCUGGUAUAUAGUUUGAUAAGUUUAACUAUUUAUAUUAUAACUCAAGUCACUCUUGAAGGUUUUCAUGAUAAGGGCAAAGAUCUUGCAGUUCAAUCUUGUUAUGUUUUCUAGUGAGUUCCUUCUUACUCCAUGUGUGUGUAAUGCCUUUUUUUUUAUGUUUGGUUUAAGGUAAGUAUAUAUAUUUUGUGAAGAUGAAAUAUUUGUGCAAGUAUGAUGGGUGAUUAUUGUAUUAGUUUGGUUUGGUCUAUCCGUGUUAAAAAUGUAAGAACCGUUCUUCAUGUUUAUGCCACUACCCUCUUGCUUCUAAAAUGAAUAAUGUGAUCUAAAGUAUGAACAUGGAUUCAUGGCAUUGCCUUCAAUAAAAUGAGCAUUGAACUAGCAAAUCGCGAUACAUGAAAAUGGUCAUGUAGCUUCUAGUAGGACAAGUGUUAUUGCAAACCAGACUGGCAAAUCAUGACAAAGGAAAAUGAAUGAGCGAACGAUAUGGCUCUAAAUAUGGACUAGGGUUUGUGGCUAACACGAAGAAAGUGGUUUGUAUGAUUGGAUGGGCAUAGUGUACACGCAAAAGGAAUAGUGUCUGGCGUAUAGUCUGUCUAUAUUUGGAAUCCACCAACUGUCGAAUUGUGUGUCUGUGUUGAAUUAGAAAAGUUUAUACGAGUUAUAUGUAUAUUGCAAUAUUUUCCUCCAAAAAUCACUAAGUUUUUUUUACUUAGUUACCUUUCCUUUUCAGGCCUGUUGAUAAAGUAAAGGAAUUUCUGAAGACUACGCUAGAGGACUAUUAUUGUCAUGAGGCUUCUUAUAUUUUGUAUUGUACAUGACAUAGGGGUGGUCUCAAGACAUUUAUCUUUUGAAGAAUGUAUUUUGUAUCUAAACCCUUGAUUAUGAGCAUAUGGUUCUAAUGGAAUUACAAUGAAGUAUUUAUGGUUUUCAAAAGCGUACUAUCUUAUUUAUUUUUGAAUGAUUAAUAGUUUGCAUUUUAUAUUAAUUUAAAUUGUGCCGUAAAUAGGUUUAUGGAAGACACAAUUUUGGAAAAUAAUGGUUUUAAGGCAGUGACGUGCCAUUCCUGGAUCCUCCCUAAGGAUCGGGUUUGGAGUGUUACAGAAAAGGUACUAGAGUAAGUUAAAAUAAACUUAGUGAGUUCGAAUGACAGAGAAAGCACAUAUAGAUCAUACACAAUAAUACCUGAGAUGAUAUCAAACCUUUCAUAGAAUUACAGACAAACUCGGUAUAUCCACUUAGCACUACACAGGGGCAAUCACUAUCCGCCAGAUUAAUCAUAACAAAUACUCAACCCAUCUUUAUGCUAGCCUCGUACCCAAAAUUUAGAUUUAGAAGCAUAUUAGUUAUUUAUAUUCAUAUAAUACACCCCCUUAAAUCCUCAUAUCAUUUCGGUUCAACCAAGUAUGUUUUCUCGUGAUCUGUCAGUUCGAUUUGCAAUAUAGCUACCUAACUAGAGGCAACACAAACAUAAUCCUCCUGCUUCAACAUCUCAUCUCACAUAUCACAUAUCACAUAUCACAUAUUACAUAUCACAUAUCACAUAUCGAUGGUAUUUGCUUGUGCAGUAAGGAGGGUAUUUACUUUGUAACACAGGUAGACCAUACUCACUCUAAUGAUAUUGGAUAACCACCAACGACACAGACACCAUUUAUACGCUAUUGAGAGAGAUUACGUACCUUACACAAUAUAUAUACAACAAUGAAAUUUAUAUCAUAUGGAAGUAAGAAAGAACUCACUAGAAAAUCUAGUAUAGUGAUCUACUCAGCAGAUUCUUUACCCUUGUUGCUAGGACCUUCGUUAGCUUCUUAAGCUAAAAGAAAGAUAAAUAUCCCUAUCAGAUUCUUAAACUAUUAAAACUUAACAUGCAUUCAAGAAUCAAUAUCAAACAACCCAGAAUCAGGAAGUUUCCUUCCUCAAGAACAAUUCUAAGGUCUAUGCAUGCAGUACUAUAAACACAUGAAUCUCUUCGAUUAUAACUUAAGGGUUUACCAAAAAUUACAAAUAAGCUGUUGUACAAACGUAGGUACUCACUAAACAUUGGGAACCCUUUUCAUUGAAGCUUUCUACACUAAGGUUUUCCUAAGCUUAUAGAAUCAUUCUGGGAAAAAGAAGAUGUAAAGGUGACAUAUGAUAACCAACGAUAUCCUUAUAUACUUAUGCAAUGAAGACAAUGUUUAAUGGGAAAAUCAUAUAAUCCCACUAACACCUUUGAUUCCUGUGAUUAAAUGCACUUAAUAAGUUUUAAGUCUAAUCAUCUACAAUAUUUUAGUUUAGUACUAACUAAGUCUCAACUAAACCCCAACAUGAUUAACUAAGUCAUCAUAAUAUACACUAAAUAUAGAAAUAAAUCUAUUAAAACUACGAACUUAACAAAUUCGCCAACAAUCUGGGGUGGGCGGAUACUCAACAGAAGAGUCUGCCAAACCCUAGAGUUCGCCAAAACUUGAAGUUCGCCAGACAACGAAUCCCACAUAGUACGUUACUCAGCCAAAAAAAAAACUUACUUACUCAAUUCUACUCGGAUUAAGCAACUUAUCUGCCAAACAAUAACUAGAUAUUAAGUCUCCAUUAGGAGGGCUGUUACAAAGUAACUAUUUGUUUCUUUGGAGAUUGAUGAUAAAGGUCUUGCCUGAAGUAUUUGCUAAUGUUUAUUGGUUUAUUGGGGAUGGUUAGCUUACAAAAUUUUGGAAUGAUGUGUGGAUCUGACAAUUAGGGCCUCUUCUUAUAUUUUAUAAAGGUGCUGGACAACCGAAUGAUAUACUACGUGUUUGUGAGUUGGUUACGGAAAGUGGAAGUUGAGAUUGGUCUUGUCUAUGUUAUCUUGUAUCAGAUCAUAUUAUCUCUCAUAUCACAACUUUCUUACCUUCUUCUCCUAAUACAGGUCAAGAUCAUUUAGCAUGGAAAUGGAUGAGGAAAUAUGAUUUUUCUGUUAGAAAAAAUGAGUUUAGAAAACGCAGCAGAAAAUAAAUUUAGGUAAAAACUAGAGUUUUAAAAUUUUUUCCAAAAUAGGAUCUUGAUUUUGAUAUCCAAAGUAAUAAACACUUAAUCAAUAUUGUACCUUUUUGAUUCGUCUAGGAUGAGCUCUUCGACCAAGUAGUCUUUUUCGCUAUCCUUAAGCUCAAGUCUGCCGAGUGUAGGCUCGUUUCGAAUUAGAAAAGUUUUCAAGAAAAUUACCAGUGGGGUAAUUUUGUAAUUUCUCUAAAUUUUUGGGUCAAGUUAUAAAUAAGAAAAAUAGCUUUAGAAUUUUUCUGGAAUAAUCUCUUUAAAGAAUUUUCUCUCUACAACUUUUUCUUAAAUUCAAGUGUGUGUAAAUAAUGACCCAAUGCUCUCUUUAUAUAGAGAGAGUUUAGAGGAUUCAACUAUAAUUAAACUUAAUCACUUUAAUAUUAAAUUAAUAUAAUAUUUAUCUUAUUAGAUUAAAUUUAAUAUUAAAUCUUAUUAAAAUAAUAUAAUAUUUAUCUUGUAGAUAAACAUUAAAUUAAAUUAAAUAUUAAGAUAAUCAAUUUAAUAUUAAAUAAAUAAAAUACUAUUAAGAUAAGUAUUAAAUUAAAUUUAAUAUUAAAUUAUUAAAAUAAUAUUAUUUUUGGAAUAAUUAAUCUGAAAUCAAAUUCUCUGGUAGAGUCCCAAUAGGACUGUAACCCUUCCAUUACUCAAUCACUAAUGACCAACCGCCACCGGCCACCAGGACACUGCUGUUGUAGCCACCGGCAUCGCCGUGUCCGAUGAUGUAGGUGUGACACCCUUACGGCAUCCCGAGCCGGUUCGGUCCGGGUCAAUGAUGACCCGAUCUAGCCACUGGUUAGACCGUCGGCUCAGUUUCACAUACCGGGAUAGGUUUGACUAGUUUUUGGGUCUUGGUCUCAAUUUUUGGCUCUCGGGCCUAAUUUACAAUCUCAGGUCCAAUUUUCAAGUUCAAUUACUCAUUAGGCCAAUUGUCUGACUUGAAAAUUAACUUCCAAAAAUAUCAUAUUAAUUUUAAUUGAUUUGAUUAAUUUAAAAUUUUACUUGAUUAAAAUUAAUUUUUCAAAAAAUUUCUUAUAUUUUUCAAAUUAUUUUUUCAAGAAAAUUAUUUAAUUAAAUUAUCUAGUUAAACAAUUCUAAUGACCGCCAAAUUUAAUUUUACAUUGAAUAAAUCGACUCAAUUAAAUUAUUUUCAAAGUGAUAGAAUUUACUUCUAAUUCAAAUGCAGUCCGAUCGAGCUUUUGUUGAGCUAGCGGAGGGACCAAUCAAACAUAUACAAUUAGACUCUAAUGAUUGCAAUUAUGUCUAGAAGCAUCAUUUCGAUAAUUUACAAUUACUUAAUCAUGGAGCCAGUCCACAACAAGUACCAUGAUUGAAAACUUCUUAUUGUAUACUCUUUACGAAAGCAAUUCAUCCAACUGCUUUUUCUAAUGACCUUGUCAUGUUUGCGUUACCCUCAUAUGAUAUCCUUGAUUUUUUUGAGUUAAGCCCGUUCAUUCAAUAGAAUCCUAUUUUAUCUCAUUGUCACCAUUGUGUCUUAUUAACGAUUAAUAUGAUCACUAUCAACAAAUGACUGUGAUAAAUUGCUCGUUUGAGAAUAAGCAACCCGUGGCCACGUUUCAUAUUUAUCAAUCCACAUAAUGCCAAUGAGAGAAUAUCAUUAACUCUUUAAUUGAGCUAUGAAUUCCACUGUUGCUAGUAAAGCCAUGCCUUGCACAAGUCAUGUACCCAACAUAUAGGCUAUGGGCUCGAUUAUCUUUAGAGCAUAAACCUCCACUUAUAUCAAAGCACAUGAGUUGUAUACGUAUGGUCAGUGACUAACUCAGGAUUUAGGUAAAUCACACCAUGAAUGUCACAAGUGAGUUAAUUCACAAACGAAUUCAAAAUUAAUUCAUCUUGGGUCCAGUCCAACGUAUCAUUCUAUCAAUGAAUACAUCUAUGUCUCUACUCGUGGAGUUAAUUUCUCUAAUAGCCAAGACUAGUCAUCUCCCUAAUUGGAAUUGUAGACGGCAAAAUAAUCCUUAUCAGUGUUUGAAUCAAAUGCUCACUUUGAUUCUUUUACGGAAUUACGGACUCAUUUAGAUUAUCUACUAGAGUAAGUUAUCUUUCUCUCAAUGUAAACGUUCUUUACAAUGCCACUUAUGUAACACCCCAAACCCGACCUAGACGUUAGGGCCGAAUCUGACGAUGUCACAUGGUAGUGCUUUUCAAAAAAAUAUGUCGUUGCUAAAUCCCUUUUUCUAUGUAACCAUUUUUUUCAUUUUCUUAUGUUAAUUUCAAAUCCUGUCGUUCGUUUCCAAAAUAUAUUCAUUUACAAAUCGUUAUUCAAUUUCAAAACGUUUUUUUAUUUUUAUUGUAGAAGCUUUUAAACAGUUUUCUUAUUCGUGGUAUUUUUGAUAAAACAUUAAUUUCAAUUGAAAACCCGAGUUUUACCUAACACUAGUAGAUUUAAAUCAUAAAACCGUAUAAAAUCCAAAUUUUAAACCAAAAUUCGUAAAGGCCAUAAUGACAGCAAAAUACUCCCAAAUAAAAGUAAAAUCAUAAAUAGGUAAUAAAUAGUGUAAAUAAAGUCGUGUGGCCACCACUGAGUCCUCCGCCGCACCGAUCCGCCUAUAUCUGGGGAUUAUCUGUACAGAUUAAAUAGAAGGGGUGAGUUUACAUAAGCUCAGUGUGUAAUCCCUAUACAAAUGUACAGACAGUAAACAGAUAAUCACAGUCUGGGCUUAAGCCCUUUUCAGGAUCAGUAUCAGUCCAGUUUGGGCCUUAGCCCAUCUCAGUACAGAAAUAGUCAUGAAGUAGGGCUUUAGCCCAUCACAAUAUCAGUAGCAGUAAUAGAUAUGUAGUCACAAAAAUCCUACCCAUCCAGCCUCUACACACCAUCUCCAUCCAACCCUACACCCCAUGUGAGGAUAUAAUCAACCCACCUAUCCCUACACUCCAAGUAGUAUCGAAUGCGGCACUAGACAGUAUUUUGUAGCUUAGCUACCAGUAAAUUAGGGUCGAGGCGUUUUAGUACAUUUCCUCUGAACAUUACAAUCCCCUCAACCCAAUGCAAUGCAAUAAACAGAUAUGACAUGCUAUAACAUAAUAUCAUGCAUGUAAACAGGGCAUACAGUAUCAAAUCAGUUGGACAUCAUCAGGCUUAAUCAUAUCAGUCAUAUAGUCAUUUCACUCAAUUAAGGGUCUAGGUAAGCUUACCGACCCUACAAUAGGUCCACAGUCGACUCGGGCGACCCGUGCAACCUUAGCAAUAAAACAGUGAAAAUGGGCCUACAAGCACAUGAUGUUCGCCCGUGUAGGUCCACACGCCCGUGUGGCCCACAUGGCCCAAAUUGGCCUUGGCCUCGUGAUUCAUUUUAAUGUAACCCGUGCUAGUUAAUUAUUCAUAUGUGUUUCCACUAUUUACUUAUAUGAUCCUUUAAAGCUGUCUACUUGAGUCACUGUUACUAAAUUAUUUGUAUCUUAAGCUAAAGAAUUUCGAAUUAAGAUCCGCAAAUUUUCCCUGAAGUUAGACUCACAUAUCUUCUUACCAUAAAAUUUUCAGAAUUUUUGGUUUAGCCAAUAAGUACAGUUUAUUCUUUAAAGUUUCCCAUGUUCUGCUGUCUGACAGUUUUGACCUUUUUGUACUAAAAAAUAAUUAUCUUCUCUUACAGAAUUUGGAUGAUGUUACCGUUUAUUUCUCUUGAAAAUAAACCCAUUCAAGAUUUUAAACAUAUAAAUUCUAACCCAUAAUUAUUUUUAUACAAUUUUUAAUAAUUUUCCAAAGCUAGGAUAGUGGAUUCCAAAACCAUUCUGACCCUAUCUCACUAAAAUUCAAAUAUCUCAUAAUAUGAAAUUAUUUUGCUUACUUUGUUUCUUCUAUGAGAAACUAGACUCAAAUAUAUUUAAUCCCAUAUUUUUUUAAUCCUCUAAUUUGAUUUUCACAAUUUAUGGUGAUUUUUCAAAUUUAGCCUACUGCUGCUGUCCAAAUAGCAAGUAAUUUCAGCUUUUCGCUGAAUCCCUUAUUUUUCUGUUUCGAGUAUAGACCUGGUAUCGUUUCACUGCAAAUAUGCUCCCAAGCACUCCAAGACCUAAAAAUCAAUAAUGAGAGCCCAAUUUAGAUCACUAACGAAAACUCACAACUGAAAAUCGUCUACAUCAAAAUCGAUAGCGAACCUAAACACUUACCGGCAACGAACCGAAAUUUCUAACGCUCAAUUUGCUUGUGAAGCUACAACUGAUUUCUGAUUUUUUUCCUAAACCAAGAGAGCCAAAACAAUCCUUUUUAGGAACUGGCUAAGAAACGAUAAAAUAGAGGCAGUCAGAUACUUACAGAAUGAGUGUAUACAAUUGUUGGCCGGAAAGUGGGCUAGUAGAAAAAUCAAACAGAGAGGGUGGACUAGGGAGAAAAAAUUCGGCAAAGCAAAGAAGAAUAGAAUAGCAGAAAAAUUGGGGAAAAGAGGAGAAUGCCGAAGUACUUAUGUCACAUAAACACAAAAACAAGAAUUAAAAAUUUUGGGACGUUACAACUUAUCUUCAGUUUGAACUUUAGAUAAUUGAUGAGCUAAUAUUUGCUUGUCACAAUUUCACUAUGCAUGCAAAAUAUAAAAGACAUAAAUACAAAAGGCAUAAUAGUGAAAUGUGAAAUUAACUUUAUUUAUUUAUUCAUCGUUCAAAUAAAUAGAAAAUAGUUACAUGUUUACUACAACAUGGGCACAUUUUUCAACAUUUUCCACAACUGAAAUAUAUAUGAAUAUGCAUGUUCUUGAUGACAUGGUUCCUACUACGAGUUGGAAGAUGAUUUGGAAAGCGAAGACACCUCAGAGGGUUCGUGUUUUCCUUUGGCUUUUGUGGCAAAACAAAUUAUUGACGAAUGGUAAGCGGGUAAGGAAACACAUGACAAGCGAUGAGAGUUGCCAUAGAUGUAGUAGUGUGCUGGAAAUGGGAUCCCAUGUGAUCUGAGAUCACCCGUUUGCUAGAUCAGUGUGGCUAUUGGUAAUUUCAAGGUGAGAUCAAGGUGUUUUUUUCUCUCUUCCGUUUGAUGAGUGAUUUCUUUGGAAUAUGCAAAAUAUAGGGAAUUGUACGGUUUGACAAACUCUAUUUUCUAUAAUAUGUUGGUUGCUUUGGAAAGACCGAAACUCAUUUGUUUUUUCUAACAACCAUAGUUGUGUUCAAGCUAUUGGUUACAUGUUAUACUUGGGUGAGCUAUGCAGAAUCUGGUUCGAGUUUGUUUCAGCUAAGUCUUAUGCGCACAUUGUUGCAUUAGGCUCGGCUGGAGAGGGGUUGGAUAAAACUUAAUACGAAUGGUGCGGUCUCAACCACCAGUCUUUCUUCAUCCAUUGGAGAAAUGUUUUGAGAUUCAGAUGCUAAUUGGUUGCGUGGUUUCUCGAUAGCCAAGGAUUCUGUCUUCAAAGUACAAGUAAGUGCAAUCUUGGAAGGCCUACUUUUGGCCCGGAGAAGGGUUUUAGACAUAUACAAUUGAAUGUGAUAAUGCACUACUGGUGGAGUUACUUUUGGCUGGUGGGGGAGAAAAAUAGCAGUUUGGUAGAGUUACGAUUGUUGCAUCAAAUCUUGAGAAAGAGUUGGAGAGUACGAAUUCAUCAUAUUCCAAGAAUUCAUAAUGAAGUUGCCAAUCAUAUGGCUAAAUGUUAUACUCCUAGAGUUUCAAGUUUGCAAGUAUACAACGAUCUCCCAGAUAUGGUGAAAAGUUUAUUGUUAGUUGAUUUAACUCGACUGAUGUUGGGUUAAGAUGUAACUGGUUGAUGUUUCAUUUUAUGCUAUUAUUUUUUACAAAAAAAAUAUAGAUUUCAAAUUUAAGCAUAGUAUAAUGACUUCAAAAGUGUAAUAAUCGUGUACAACUUCAAUAAAGAAAAUACAAUUUAUUAUUAUUAUUAGCCAAAAUGAAAACUUAUAAAAUUGGAUCCCCAAUUGUAUAGUUUACCCUUUAUUAUUCCACAAGUCUUAACUUAAUAAUACAUGAAGGACAGAAAGGAAAAAAAAAACUGUGAGCUGAAUUGAGCACGACAUUACAUCGAAAACUACAUGAACAAAACCGAAAGAGUCCCAUCUCCAAGUAGUUGUCUUCACUUGUUUUAUUCCCUUAACCUCGACACUUAAAAAAAUAAAAUCUCAACAAUAAUAUGCUAAAGUUUCUCAAACAUGAAAAUGAAUAAGGUUGGGUAGACAAUUAUUUCAACUUUUAAGGAUAAAAAAGGAAAAUCAUAGAUAAAAGUAUGAGCAUUAUUGUCAAACCAAAAACCUUACUUUUUCACUACCCUUUACUGGAGGUUCAAGCUUUAGUCCACAGACUAAUCCUUAAGUGAGAUUUGAAUCGUCCAAUUGCACUGCACCAGUGCAUCCAAACAGCAUUUCAAUAUGUUUGAAGUGAAAAAGUUACUCCAAUCGUGCCUCACUGCAGUUAAACACUGAACGAAAGGAAACCUUAGUUGUUGUUCCAUAUAUACUUUCAAAAAAAAGAUAUAAGGAAAAAGACUUCUAUCUGAUCUGUCAUGGAAAAAAUUGUUGAUGUGAUAUAUAAUUAUCGAAUUGGCCGCUCACGAUAAAAUAUAACCAAUCUAUUAAGGGAUAAAAUAUUCUUUUACUGUUAAAUUACGUGUUUAAAAUGAUUGAUAUCAACAUUAAUUCCCAAGCCUACUUUAUAUACAUAAUAAACCCUAUAUAAUUCUCAUAAAUAAUUUUCAUAAUUAAUUAAAAAUAUUUAAAUACAUUAGUAAUAUUAUUACAAGUUCAAAACUUAAAUAACUAACUAUUAUUUAUUAAAAUUUAAUUUUUUUAAAAAGUAAUUAUAUGUAAUAAAUUGAAUUAUAAAAAAAUCGAAAGGGGGAAAGGGGAAACAAAAAACAAUGAAGCUAUGUUUGGCAAUGGCAGAUCCAUCGGUGUUUUGUAAUUAACGCAAGUUACGUAGCCAAGAGGAAUAUUAGGUAGGGGGGACCAAGCAAUUAUCUCAACGUUGAAAACGUAAGCCUACCCUUAUUCAAUUAUUACCUUGACGUUAUUGACUUCAUCUCCAAUUUCCUUAAGAACCAUGGUAAACAUUUACCAGAAUACUUCAUCGUCAAUGGCAUUAGCCAAUUAAUAAUUUACCAUUGUGGGGGUUAAAAGAAUGUUAUAGCCAAAUCCACGGAUGAACUCCAUGACAGUGUAAUUAAAUUAUCCUUAGAAAGAAAACCAGAUAAUAAAAUAAAUUUAUUAUUGGGUACUAUAUAGUUAGUCACCCGACUUUUAUAAAUUUUCAUUUUGGGCAUAAAAAUUUAAAAGAAAAUUUAAAAUUUAGGUGCUACCAUUAACAAUAGUUUUCAUUUUGGUCACUCGUUAGUUUGGGGCUACGCAAGGUCAUUUUACUCUCAUUUUAGUCACUCAAUUUUAAUAAGUUUUCGUUUUAGUCAGUCAUUUCUUUUUCUUUUUUUAGAGUUUCUUUUAUCUACUUUCAAAAAAGAAAACAAUAAACCCAGAAUUUUAUAGGGAAUUGAUUUUUUCCGCUACAGAAAUGAAAGGCAAGUUUUAUUUUCCUGUAACUCAACUCACUGUAAAAACUCGGGUUUUCUCUUAUAAGAAUCUAAGUUUUCACUUUUUAUUAGAAAAGAACUAAAAUUAAUUCUGGAAAAAAGGAAAUUAAAAAGAUAAAAUGAAUUUUCUUUUUUUAACUAUGGGUGACUAAAAUAAAAAUGAUUGUUAACAGUAGUGUCAAAAUUCAAAUUUUUUAUUUAAUUACAAUGUUCAAAAUAAAAACUUAUGAAAAUUAGGUGACAAAAAAUACAGUUUACCCUUUAUUAUUNNNNNNNNNNNNNNNNNNNNNNNNNNNNNNNNNNNNNNNNNNNNNNNNNNNNNNNNNNNNNNNNNNNNNNNNNNNNNNNNNNNNNNNNNNNNNNNNNNNNNNNNNNNNNNNNNNNNNNNNNNNNNNNNNNGUCGGCGCGAAACAGCCGGGCAAUGGGAUAUGCCGAUGGUGUGACCACCUGAAAAACAAUGAUGUCAUUACAUGUUAUGGAUGAACGGAACGAGUAGGUUAAGUGUAAAUUAUACCAGAUAGGAGAACUAAGUCGGUCAAGUUAAGUCCUUGGUUACUGAAAAGAGUAAGGAGAGUAGUGAAGUUGUGGAAAGGGCUUGGAAUGUUGGUAUUUGCUUCGGUGAUAUUGGAUAUCACACCGUCUCUUCUUCCUGUUGGAACAUUCCAAAAUGGACCUCCCUGUGAUAAGCAGUGACCAUUUUCAGUGCUUGGGAUGGUUAUGUUUUAUGUGGGAAAUGGAAAGCAUGCAGGUGAUUUUUUGUACUUACAGUGGUUACUACAGAGUCUCUGGCAACCAAAGUGAGGAUAUCGGCACAGGAGACAACUCCAGGGCAUUCGGCUUCGAGGAGGCUCUUCACUCUUUCAAUGAAAUCAAAGCCCCUCAGUGUUAGAUUUGGGACUGCAUUCUUCUCUGCUUGGCCAGAUGUGGAGUUUAGAAGCACUGAUGCAUCACAGCCCUGCCCGCAGAAAAUAAAAAUAGUAUCAUUUUCACUCCUUGUUUCUAUGCCACACCAUGGUUGUUAAAGCCGAAUCAAAGGUCGAAUAUAAAUAUAAAAGAGAAAAAGGCAGAAGUUUACCCUGACAAUGCAAUCAUGGAAGUGCAUUCUUAAGAAAGAAGCAGCGAGGGAUGGGGCAUUAGGGAUGUGCUGUUUAACAUAGUCCAGCACAAUCUGCUCGGCUUUAGGACAGCUGCUGGCAUAAAAGUUCAUCUGCAGUUGAGCCUGUGCGGACCCAAUCAAUGCUAAAACACCAAACACAACAACUAAAACAAUCCUCGCAGAGCUUGUUCCUGCCAUCUUCGACAGACUUUGAACUAGCUCCUGUUUCAGAUCUCUUUUAAGGACAGCAAUGUUUGAUGUUGUUGUGAUUUAGAAAACGAGGGAAUGUUUAUAGGCACUGAUUUUCAAUUACUACAAGAUUAAAACUAUACAACUACAAAUAAGAUAAUCAAACCUGUGCUGCCUACGUUAUCUAUCUUUAGAAUUCUUUUUCGACAAAAAGUGCAGCAAACCGCCUUUGGCUGUUUGUCAGCGCGUAGAUCUCAAAAAGUUAUUCAAAAUUAAAAAAAUUCGUCUCAAUCGGACAACCGAGCGAAAAGUUAUGGCCUUUCAAAGUUUUCCAAGCUAAAAAUGAGAAAUUGUUCAUCCACGUCAGCAAAUCGCGUCCUAGAGGGCGUGAUUUGUGUCCACGUAAGCAAAUCGCGCUGACGUGGACGCGAUUUCGCGGAAAAUGGACCAUUCCGGUAAAUAAUUAAAUAAUUGGCCUAUUUCGAUAAUUUUUGAAAAAAAAAGGGCUUUUUUUGGUCAUUUGCCCGUCAAAUUACAAACUAUUAUUUACAAAUUACCAGAAAGCUAUAAUCACCAAAGCAAAUACAAAAGAAUAAAAAAAUAUCAAUUAUUACAGCGAUCCUUAAUUUUCGCCAAUACAAAAUCAAAAUAAAUCAUUAUUAUAUUUGCAGUAAUAUACAAGCUAACUAAAUUAUUAAUAAAUUUACGUUUUGACUAUUUAAUUUUAAAAGUUAUAAAAUAGUCAUUGAAUUAUUCGAAAAUUUUUAUUUAAAUCUUUGGAAUGUUAAAAUCGUUGUUGUUUAACCUUCUUGUUCGCAUUAAUUGAAAGUUUUCCUUCCCUUUUCUUUUCUACAAUUCAAUUUUUUUCAAGAAAUAAUUUUGAACGUUAUGAAACUGUAAAUAAAAUCCAAACAGUUUUCUUUUCUAAUCUCUAACAUUGAUCGUUAGAUAGAUUUGGGUUUAAAAUAUGUUCUUCUACUCGUCAAUGGGUAUCAGUUCAUCAUACCGAUAGUCAAAUAAUCACUUAGAAAUCGUUAGCCAGACUUUAAAAAAAAACCUUAACAGCCCAAUGGCUUAAAUAAAAAUUUUCGAAUAAUUUAAUGACCAUUUUAUAACUUUUUGAAAUUAAGUAACCAAAACAUAAAUUUAAUAACAGUUUAGUGAGUUAGUGUAAUUUACUUUAUGUUUGCCUAUAAAUGAAAAUGAUUACAUUCAUAUAACAAAUUGCAAACAUUUGAUCAACUUUACUGAUUCAAGUUUUACAUUUACACAAUUAAAACAAAAAAAAAAAACUGAAAAAAAAGCAUAAAUAAUACACAAAUUAUGGUAUUAAACUCGCCUCAUUGUCGGCUAUAAAAAAAAAUUACAGUGGCAUCAAAUUAUUGAAUCGAAAAGUAGAUGUAUACAAAUGUAUAUAACAUAUGAUAGCCAUCGAGCGGUUCAACCAAUUCAAUCAAUUGAUUUCAUUCAGCUCUGUUAUUUUGUUCUUAUCUGACUUGGUUUUUAGUGUGUCGUCAUCAAAUUCAUGAAUUAACCUUUAAACAGAUCAAGGUUUAGUGUUAUCUAAAGAUAGGUAACGUGGACAGCACAAGCUUGAUUAUCUUAUUUGAAAUUGUAUAGUUUUCAUCUUCUAGUAGUUGAAAAUCAGUGCCUAUAAAACAUUCCCUUGUUUUCCAAAUCACAACAACAUCAAACAUUGCUGUCUUAAAAGAGAUCUGAAACAGGAGCUAGUUCAAAGUCUGUCGAAGAUGGCAGGAACAAGCUCUGCGAGGAUUGUUUUAGUUGUUGUGUUUGGUGUUUUAGCAUUGAUUGGGUCCGCACAGGCUCAACUGCAGAUGAACUUUUAUGCCAGCAGCUGUCCUAAAGCCGAGCAGAUUGUGCUGGACUAUGUUAAACAGCACAUCCCUAAUGCCCCAUCCCUCGCUGCUUCUUUCUUAAGAAUGCACUUCCAUGAUUGCAUUGUCAGGGUAAACUUCUGCCUUUUUCUCUUUUAUAUUUAUAUUCGACCUUUGAUUCGGCUUUAACAACCAUGGUGUGGCAUAGAAACAAGGAGUGAAAAUGAUACUAUUUUUAUUUUCUGCGGGCAGGGCUGUGAUGCAUCAGUGCUUCUAAACUCCACAUCUGGCCAAGCAGAGAAGAAUGCAGUCCCAAAUCUAACACUGAGGGGCUUUGAUUUCAUUGAAAGAGUGAAGAGCCUCCUCGAAGCCGAAUGCCCUGGAGUUGUCUCUUGUGCCGAUAUCCUCACUUUGGUUGCCAGAGACUCUGUAGUAACCACUGUAAGUACAAAAAAUCACCUGCAUGCUUUCCAUUUCCCACAUAAAACAUAACCAUCCCAAGCACUGAAAAUGGUCACUGCUUAUCACAGGGAGGUCCAUUUUGGAAUGUUCCAACAGGAAGAAGAGACGGUGUGAUAUCCAAUAUCACCGAAGCAAAUACCAACAUUCCAAGCCCUUUCCACAACUUCACUACUCUCCUUACUCUUUUCAGUAACCAAGGACUUAACUUGACCGACUUAGUUCUCCUAUCUGGUAUAAUUUACACUUAACCUACUCGUUCCGUUCAUCCAUAACAUGUAAUGACAUCAUUGUUUUUCAGGUGGUCACACCAUCGGCAUAUCCCAUUGCCCGGCUGUUUCGCGCCGACUGUACAAUUCCACCGGCCCCGGCGGAAUCGACCCAACCAUGGACAGCGAGUACGCUGAAAACCUCAAGGCCAACAAGUGUAAAACCGCGAGCGAUAACACCACAAUACUUGAGAUGGACCCUGGGAGUCGGAAAACCUUCGAUCUUAGCUACUACUCACUCUUGCUCAAAAGAAGGGGUCUUUUCCAAUCCGAUGCUGCUUUAACCACUGAUUCAACCAGCUUGGCUUUCAUCAACCAGCUCCUUACCAGUCCCCCACAGUUCUUCUUUGAUGAGUUUGCCAAAGCCAUGGAGAAAAUGGGUCGGGUUAAUGUUAAGACUGGAUCCGAAGGCCAGAUCCGGA
This 17437-nucleotide long non-coding RNA is filed under the name Gossypium raimondii (Peruvian cotton). RNAcentral's name for it is "long non-coding RNA (GRAI_LNC010429)". Lineage: Eukaryota; Viridiplantae; Streptophyta; Magnoliopsida; Malvales; Malvaceae. The record is from RNAcentral.